This 467-nucleotide ribosomal RNA is filed under the name uncultured bacterium. Its description in RNAcentral is "partial 16S ribosomal RNA". It matches the Rfam family "Bacterial small subunit ribosomal RNA", at positions 28 to 507 of the family's 1533-position model. The record is from RNAcentral.
GACGAACGCUGGCGGCGUGCUUAACACAUGCAAGUCAGGGGGCGGGGUAACCCGUCACCGGCGAACGGGUGCGGAACACGUGAGCGACCUGCCCUGGUGUGGGGGAUAGCCGGCCCAACGGCCGGGUAAUACCGCAUACGGCGCCCGCUUGGAAGCGGGAGGCGAAACUCGCAAGAGGCGCCAGGAGGGGCUCGCGGCCUAUCAGCCAGUUGGUGCGGUAACGGCGCACCAAGGCGAUGACGGGUAGCUGGUCUGAGAGGAUGGCCAGCAACAUUGGGACGGAGAGGCGGCCCAGACUAGUACGGGAGGCAGCAGUGGGGAAUAUUGCGCAAUGGGCGAAAGCGUGACGCAGCGACGCUGCGUGGAGGAUGAGGCCCUUCGGGGUGUAAACUCCUGUGGGAAGGGACGAAUGCCCCGAAUCGGCGGGGUUGACGGUACCGGGUGAGGAAGCACCGGCUAACUCUGUG